This 440-nucleotide ribosomal RNA is filed under the name uncultured bacterium. RNAcentral describes it as "partial 16S ribosomal RNA". It matches the Rfam family "Bacterial small subunit ribosomal RNA", at positions 338 to 795 of the family's 1533-position model. The record is from RNAcentral.
CCUACGGGUGGCAGCAGUGGGGGAUAUUGCACAAUGGGGGGAACCCUGAUGCAGCGACGCCGCGUGGGUGAAGAAGCGCCUCGGCGCGUAAAGCCCUGUCAGCAGGGACGCAAAUGACGGUACCUGAAGAAGAAGCCCCGGAUAACUACGUGCCAGCAACCGCGGUAAUACGUAGGGAGCAGGCGUUAUCCGGCUUUACUGGGUGUAAAGGGGGCGCAGACGGCGAUGCAAGCCAGGAGUGAAAGCCCGGGGCCCAACCCCGGGACUGCUCUUGGCACCGCGGGGCGGGAGUGCAGGAUGGGCAGGCGGAAUUCCUGGUGUAGCGGUGAAAUGCGUAGAUAUCAGGAGGAACACCGGUUGCGAAGGCAGCCUGCUGGACUGCAACUGACGUUGAGGCCCGAAAGCGUGGGGAGCAAACAGGAUUAGAUACCCUUGUAGUC